AGUGAAAUACGUCCGUGUGGAAAACUACUUCCUCCGUAAAAUGGUUCCUACGGCAAGAGAUGAUAAGAGCAGACAGGAGCUACAGGAGGGAUCUGAGAGCCAAGCUGGUGUCAGAACCAGGAAAUAUCUGGGUUGGGUUUUGAAGAGCCAGAGUGGGAAAAGCUGGGCAACUCCCUGCUGCAAGGCCCUGGCACUUGUCUCUGUCUUCUAAAUGAAGCGAGCACCAGCUCUUGUGAAACAGCAAGCAGCAGCAGCAAGAUCAAAAAGUAAGGAAAAAAAAUCUAUUCAAAAGAAGCGCUGAAACCUACGUUCAGUGCUGCUGGCCAUGGUGCCCUUGAAGGAGCGAGAGAUUGAUUUCCUGGAUUCCUCCUCAGCGGGAGUCUGCUCCAGAGGCACAGAGCUGAC
Molecule: long non-coding RNA, 405 nt
Organism: Lates calcarifer (barramundi perch)
Lineage: Eukaryota; Metazoa; Chordata; Actinopteri; Centropomidae
Exons: 4
Source: RefSeq, a predicted model, not a curated record